RNAcentral lists this ribosomal RNA (1218 nucleotides) under uncultured Rhizaria. RNAcentral describes it as "SSU rRNA". It matches the Rfam family "Eukaryotic small subunit ribosomal RNA", at positions 577 to 1805 of the family's 1831-position model. The record is from RNAcentral.
CGGUAAUUCCAGCUCCAAUAGCGUAUACUAAAGUUGUUGCAGUUAAAAAGCUCGUAGUUGGAUUUCUGCGGGGACGGAGCGGCCGGACGCAACUUGCGUCUCGAGCUAGCGCUUUCCCCGCAUCCUGCCGCGAACCGUGCUACCAUUAGUUUGGUGGCGCUGGGGAUCGGCUCGAUUACUUUGAGAAAAAUAGAGUGUUCAAAGCAGGCCACACGCCUUGAAUAAGUUAGCAUGGAAUAAUGACUAAGGACUUCGGUUCUAUUUUGUUGGUGUUCGGGACUGAAGUAAUGAUUGAUAGGGACAGUUGGGGCGGUCUGUAUUCCAAAGCGAGAGGUGAAAUUCUUAGACCUUCGGAAGACAAACAUCUGCGAAAGCGUUCCGCAAGGAUGUUCCCUUUGAUCAAGAACGAAAGUUGGGGGAUCGAAGACGAUCAGAUACCGUCGUAGUCUCAACUAUAAACUAUACCAGCUAGGGAUCGGUCAACGUUUAAUUAUUCGACUUGAUCGGCACCUUAUGAGAAAUCAAAGCAUCUGGGUUCCGGGGGGAGUAUGGUCGCAAGGCUGAAACUUAAAGGAAUUGACGGAAGGGCACCACCAGCCGUGGAGCCUGUGGCUUAAUUUGACCCAACACGGGAAAACUUACCAGGUCCAGACAUAGUAAGGAUUAACAGAUUGAUAGCUCUUUCUUGAUUCUGUGGGUGGUGGUGCAUGGCCGUUCUUAGUUGGUGGAGUGAUUUGUCUGGUUAAUUCCGUUAACGAACGAGACCCCAGCCUGCUAAAUAGCGCGGCUGAGCUUUGCUCGGUGCGAGCUUCUUAGAGGGACUAUGAUGCGCGAUAGCACAUGGAAGUUUGGGGCAAUAACAGGUCUGUGAUGCCUUUAGAUGUUCUGGGCCGCACACGGGCUACACUGGCGCCUGCAACGAGCACAUCAGCUGGCCCGAGAGGGUCUUGGCUAAUCUUUUGAACCGGCGCCGUGCUUGGGAUUGACCUUUGCAAUUGUUGGUCAUGCAACGAGGAAUGCCUUGUAAACGCGAGUCAUCAGCUCGCAUUGAAUACGUCCCUGCCCUUUGUACACACCGCCCGUCGCUCCUACCGAUGAAUGUUCCGAUGAAAUUUUCGGAGAGCGCCAGAGAACGGGGCUCUGCCUUGCAGAUCUGGAGGCUCAAAGUCACUUAAAUCUGAACAUUUCGAGGAAGGAGAAGUCGUAACAAGGUAGCCG